Molecule: long non-coding RNA, 1267 nt
Organism: Coregonus clupeaformis (lake whitefish)
Lineage: Eukaryota; Metazoa; Chordata; Actinopteri; Salmoniformes; Salmonidae
Exons: 5
Source: RefSeq, a predicted model, not a curated record
GCACCGGUGACUCCGGCAGCUCAGUCACAGCAGAUACCGGCCGCUCAAUCACGUACACCUGUCCAAGCGGAGGUAGCAAGGCUCUUUGCGCCAUAUAACAUUGGAGCCAGAAGGAAUAUGACGAGACGACCAGCACAAGUCCAAGUUAGCCGAAGAAGCUACACACACACUGUCUGUUGUUUGGCUGACCACAAUGCGGAUAAAAUUCCAAGCGUACUGUUUAAAGCUGAACUUCUUACUUCAGGACUUGGAGAGCAAAAAGUAACAUUUUCAGGGAAUGACCACGAUCCCAUGGUUAUAACAAAUAAACUGAUGGAAGUGUUUCCGAAGCUCCAACAAGGGGGAGGCUUUGAAUUUCUAAAACUUGUAGGAUCUACUCGCAGUCGAAAUCUUGCGUUGCUUCAGUGUCCCAGCACUGGAUACACCCUUGCCUAUCUGAAAGAUCCAUCGACGAUGAUUGGACAGGCUACAAUCUACAUACGUCCACUUCAACAGGAUCUACCCUUAGAUUGUGAGAGCUCACGUCCUGCCUCUGGUCCAGUCAUCCCCUGCAUCACUUGUCAGAAGGAAGUUCCCUUUUCAGAGAUGAAGCUGCACAGAUUGAGCUGCAAUGGGACACCCAUGCAGGAAUCAGAAAGAGAACAAGAGGGAGGCCAAAGUGAAGAAAAUGAUAGUGAGACAGCCCUAGUCAGUGACAGUGUUCCAGUGAGGCCUGAAACAUCAGCUGAGAGUGCAGUAGUACCGGCAGUGAUUGUCAACGAGGAGUUGGAUCGCAAAGAAACAGACAGUGGUUUGUGUCAUCACAAUAGUGUUGCUAUAAGAUUGUGUGUAACUGAAAAGUUAAUAGAAAGAUAACACCUGUAGGAUAUAAUUAGAUAAGAUAAUACAGUUACAGACAAUUAAUAACAUGCAACUGGGUUUUUCUAUUUUUCUAAUAUUUAGUUGUAGUUGUUUAGUAGUGCUGUUUUUAUGUCAACUCAGCGUUGUGACAGGUUCUGAAGAUGUUGGGUCUCACGUUUUGUCAGUGAAAUGAACAGAAUUUUCCUCCUGUUCUGUAGAGUGAGAGGAUAUCUGUAUAUGCAGGUAACAUGCCAACUCACAAUAUGUCUCUCUGUAAUAGAUAACUUUAUUGUUGUUGUUUGUUUAGAAUGGAAGCUUUGGCCCAUUCUGUGGACCAUAAUGAGACAGGAAGCUUCAAAGAAACAGCUUUUUUUCCUUUCUUUUAAAAGGAAAGUAAACUUUCAGUUUUUCCUUGCUUGUUCUAACA